GAUGAACGCUGGCGGCGUGCCUAAUACAUGCAAUUCGAGCGAACGUACUAGUAGCUUGCUUCUCUGAUGUUAUCGGCGGACUGGUUAGUAACACGUUGAUAACCUACCUAUAAGACUGUGAUAACUUCGGUAAACCGGAGCUAAUACCGGAUAAUAUUUUGAACCGCAUUGUUCAAAUUUGAAAGACGGUCUUGCUUUCACUUAUAGCUGUAUCCGCGCUGCAUUAGCUAGUUGGUAAGGUAACGGCUUACCAAGGCAACGAUGCAUAGCCGACCUGAGAGGGUGAUAGGACACACUGGAACUGAGACACGGUCUGGACUCCUACGGGAGGAAGCAGGAGGGAAUCUUACGCGAUGGGCAAAAGCCUGAAGGAGCAACGCCGAGUGAGUAAUGAGAGACUUCGGAUCGUAAAACUCGGUUAUGAGGGAAGAACAUAUGUGUAAGGAACUGUGCACAUCUUGACGGUACCUAAUCAGAAAGCCACGGCUAACUACGUA
This 497-nucleotide ribosomal RNA is filed under the name uncultured bacterium. Its description in RNAcentral is "partial 16S ribosomal RNA". It matches the Rfam family "Bacterial small subunit ribosomal RNA", at positions 28 to 507 of the family's 1533-position model. The record is from RNAcentral.